GGCAUAGUAUUAUGAUCAACUAACGUCUUCUUGCAUAACAAAUCAGCAGCCUCUACUUGAUACACUGACUCCAUGUCUACGCCGAGAAAUAUACGAGAUGCACUAAGUGAUAUCACCAGUAUCGCAGAUGAGGCCCGGCGGACGAGGGAACGGAUUCGUCGAGCUGAGAUGUCUGACGAACAAAGGGAGGAGGUCAGGAGGAAACAACGUGAGUACCAACGUCAGUACCGAAAAAGGAAGAAGGCCAUGUCCCAAAGCAGUAGCGCUGACCCGAGUGCUAAUCUCUCAGAGAUGGACCAGAAUUCGCCCUAUUUAUUGGGCAAUGAAAAUAUCCGGCCAAGUGGU
Sorghum bicolor (sorghum) is the source of this 345-nucleotide long non-coding RNA. RefSeq lists it as uncharacterized. The transcript has 3 exons. Lineage: Eukaryota; Viridiplantae; Streptophyta; Magnoliopsida; Poales; Poaceae. The record is from RefSeq and is a predicted model, not a curated record.